GGUGGUGCUGGGAAUAGGGCGCAAGAUGUCGGCGGAUGCAGCUCCGAGGAGGUAGGCAGUGGGAGCCGACGUUCAGUCCGGCCCGUGCCAACAGUGGUUCCUCUCUCCCCCGUAGUUCGAGGAGACCACGCGCUGCCCCUCUGGCACGAUCGUGGAUGAACCCCCUGGCAACUGAAAUGGGAAAGGCAGCGCCCCCGACUCUGGGGACUGGACCGAACUCCACGGUAGUGACAGCUGCCAGACCCUGAGGAGAGGACGAGAAGACCUGAGGCCUCUGCUACGAACACUGGCAGCCGAUGGAAAAUUCAGACGGAUUUGGGACAGUAUGCAGAGUUCUCCAAGCGACAGAUUAACAGAGGCUCUUGAAGGAUAACUGUGUAAUCACGUGUUCUGCUCAAAAGAAGGCCUGAAUGCCCAGUGCCUUAUUUGGCUUUCAGGACAGGGUCUUGCUGUGUCACCCAGGCUGGAGUACAGUGGUGCAGUCAUAGCUCACUGCUGCCUCAAACUCCUAGACUCAGGCAAUCCUCCUGCUUCAGCCUCCCGAGUAGCUGGGACUACAGGUAGAUGAUGGGCUCCAUGGGAACAGAGCAAACGUUCGCUCCUGCCUCCUACACGGUGUUUCCUCUAAACCUGAGGCUCAGCAGACUUGUCAUCACUUAAAACCCAAUUCAGAGCGGGGGGCACUGCCAGUGAAUAGUUCAUCACCGACUCAGUUUCCCCAUGUGUAUGCUGUGGUAUUGGAUCAGCAACGAGAUAAGAAGAUCUCUCCCAUUUCCAAGCGUCUAUGAUGAUUCUGAGGCACAAGGUCACAUUUGACAGUACUAGGAAACCCAGGAAACAACAAGCAAAGAUGACAAAGGAUGUGUCUGCCUGGGCAGACGAUCUAUUUGGACAAGAUAAUAGACCCAGGCAUGGACAUGCUCUCCAAGAAAGAUGCCCUGACAGCUGCUCACACUGAAGCUGAAUCGAACAUUCCAAUCCUUAGAGCUUCCAGCGAAGAUCUUGAAGUCUCCCUGAGCCACUGACACAAUGGCCAUGCCAUCCCAGUGAUAAAACACAAAUUGUGGCCUUGUUUUGGACAGAAAUAAAGAGCCCAGUUUGUUAGUGAUUUACUGAUAA
This 1119-nucleotide non-coding RNA is filed under the name Pan troglodytes (chimpanzee). The record is from RNAcentral. Lineage: Eukaryota; Metazoa; Chordata; Mammalia; Primates; Hominidae.